Molecule: ribosomal RNA, 468 nt
Filed under: uncultured bacterium
Lineage: Bacteria
Description: bacterial SSU rRNA
Rfam family: Bacterial small subunit ribosomal RNA
Source: RNAcentral
UGCCAGACUCCUACGGGAGGCAGCGGUGAGGAAUAUUGGUCAAUGGCCGAGAGGCUGAACCAGCCAAGUCGCGUGAGGGAAGACGGCCCUACGGGUUGUAAACCUCUUUUGUCGGGGAGCAAAGCGAGUCACGUGUGACUCAUUGAGAGUACCCGAAGAAAAAGCAUCGGCUAACUCCGUGCCAGCAGCCGCGGUAAUACGGAGGGUGCAAGCGUUAAUCGGAAUUACUGGGCGUAAAGCGCACGCAGGCGGUCUGUCAAGUCGGAUGUGAAAUCCCCGGGCUCAACCUGGGAACUGCAUUCGAAACUGGCAGGCUUGAGUCUCGUAGAGGGGGGUAGAAUUCCAGGUGUAGCGGUGAAAUGCGUAGAGAUCUGGAGGAAUACCGGUGGCGAAGGCGGCCCCCUGGACGAAGACUGACGCUCAGGUGCGAAAGCGUGGGGAGCAAACAGGAUUAGAUACCCCCGUAGA